UACAGAGGGGGCAAGCGUUAUUCGGAAUUAUUGGGCGUAAAGGGCGCGUAGGCGGCUUUGCAAGUGGCGGGUGAAAUCCCUCGGCUUAACCGAGGAACUGCCUGCCAGACUGUGAGGCUUGAGACCGGGAGAGGUGAGUGGAAUUCCCAGUGUAGCGGUGAAAUGCGUAGAUAUUGGGAAGAACACCUGAGGCGAAGGCGGGUUGCUGGGCCGACACUGACGCUGAUGCGCGAAAGCCAGGGGAGCGAACGGG
RNAcentral lists this ribosomal RNA (253 nucleotides) under uncultured bacterium. Its description in RNAcentral is "partial 16S ribosomal RNA". It matches the Rfam family "Bacterial small subunit ribosomal RNA", at positions 524 to 776 of the family's 1533-position model. The record is from RNAcentral.